This 478-nucleotide ribosomal RNA is filed under the name uncultured bacterium. Its description in RNAcentral is "partial 16S ribosomal RNA". It matches the Rfam family "Bacterial small subunit ribosomal RNA", at positions 28 to 507 of the family's 1533-position model. The record is from RNAcentral.
GAUGAACGCUGGCGGCGUGCUUAACACAUGCAAGUCGAACGAGAAGUGAAGACGGAAACCUUCGGGCGGAAGGCUUUAUUUCGAGUGGCGGACGGGUGAGUAACGCGUGGGUAACCUGCCUCAUACAGGGGGAUAACAGUUUGAAACGACUGUUAAUACCGCAUAAGACCACAGCACCGCAUGGUGCGGGGGUAAAAACUCCGGUGGUAUGAGAUGGACCCGCGUUCGAUUAGCCAGUUGGCGGGGUAACGGCCCACCAAAGCGACGAUCGAUAGCCGAUCUGAGAGGAUGACCGGCGACAUUGGGACUGAGACACGGCCCAAACUCCUACGGGAGGCAGCAGUGGGGAAUAUUGCACAAGGGGGGAAACCCUGAUGCAGCGACGCCGCGUGAGUGAAGAAGUAUUUCGGUACGUAAAGCUCUAUCAGCAGGGAAGAAAAUGACGGUACCUGAGGAAGAAGCCCCGGCUAACUACGUG